UUGCAGCAUUUGCUCACGGGCUGCUCCUUCUCCCGCCAGGUGUGGCACGAGGUUCUCUCCUGGUGCCGAUCCACCGCCACGAUCCCGAGACACGACGACGAGUUUGCCGACUGGCUCACCACUGCCAUCGCCGACUCUCCGCGCUGUCUUCGACGCGGGCUCGCCUUCGUCGCCAUCCUCACUGCCAGGUGGCUCUGGAAGCACCGCAACGGUAGCACUUUCGACGGCUAUUGCCCCUCCGUUUGCCACGCCGUCACCGCGAUCAGAGAUGAGGCAAGACUCUGGGCACACGCGGGCGCCACGCACUUGGCGAAGAUCAUCCCGGAGACGUAG
Molecule: ribosomal RNA, 333 nt
Filed under: Triticum aestivum (bread wheat)
Lineage: Eukaryota; Viridiplantae; Streptophyta; Magnoliopsida; Poales; Poaceae
Description: partial small subunit ribosomal RNA
Source: RNAcentral